AACGCUUCGGAGCGCGUCCUGGCGGCGCCCAGCAGCGACCUGGACGUGAACACCGACAUCUACUCCAAGGUGCUGGUGACGGCCGUGUACCUGGCGCUCUUCGUGGUGGGCACGGUGGGCAACUCGGUGACCGCGUUCACGCUGGCGCGCAAGAAGUCGCUGCAGAACCUACAGAGCACCGUGCACUACCACCUGGGCAGCCUGGCGCUGUCCGACCUGCUCAUCCUGCUGCUGGCCAUGCCCGUAGAGCUGUACAACUUCAUCUGGGUGCACCACCCCUGGGCCUUCGGCGACGCCGUCUGCCGCGGCUACUACUUCCUGCGCGACGCCUGCACCUAUGCCACGGCCCUUAACGUGGCCAGCCUGAGCGUGGAACGCUACCUGGCCAUCUGUCACCCCUUCAAGGCCAAGACCCUCAUGUCCCGCAGCCGCACCAAGAAGUUCAUCAGCGCCAUCUGGCUGGCCUCGGGGCUGCUGGCUGUGCCCAUGAUCUUCACCAUGGGCCAGCAGAACCGCAGCGCAGACGGCCAGCACCCCGGCGGGCUGGUGUGCACACCCAUCGUCCACACCGCCACCGUCAAGGUUGUCAUCCAGGUGAGCAGCCUCUUCCGGGGGAGAAGGGCCGGGAGGAAACAGGGACGCAGCGCUGGCCGGGCAUUUCCUGAGCCCUUGGAGAACACAGUUAACAGCACUCGCCAGGCUUCUUGGGUCCUGGCAGCUGCUCCAAGUGCAGAGGUGCCUGUGCUGCUCAAGGCUGCAGGACCUCGGCGCCAAGGCCUGCGGUGGGCUG
Galeopterus variegatus (Sunda flying lemur) is the source of this 790-nucleotide RNA transcript. It is a transcript of the gene named neurotensin receptor type 1 pseudogene, with no coding region annotated. The record is from RefSeq and is a predicted model, not a curated record. Lineage: Eukaryota; Metazoa; Chordata; Mammalia; Dermoptera; Cynocephalidae. The transcript has 3 exons.